Molecule: long non-coding RNA, 920 nt
Organism: Mastomys coucha (southern multimammate mouse)
Lineage: Eukaryota; Metazoa; Chordata; Mammalia; Rodentia; Muridae
Exons: 2
Source: RefSeq, a predicted model, not a curated record
GCGGGGCCGGCCGCACUUUACGGCAGCCUCGCCCGCAAAGCAGCCUCGCAGCGGCAUCUUCUGGAGAGGAGGCGCGCCCCGCCCAACCCCCUUCCCGCCACUACUGUGCUUCCUCCCAGUUCCCAGCAGGGAAGCUCAAGGACACCUGAAAGUACACGACAGACCGAAAGUUUUCCCAAUAGAGAGCGGUUGCUCGGGCUGGCGAGGAUGCUCAGUGGGUUGGAGGGCACACACACACACGUCAAGUUGUCUUUUGGCCUACACACAAACACAAUCAUACAAAAUAAGGAAAAUUGGGAAACUUAACAUGUUCAACCCAAAGUUCAAUGUGUUUUGUUUUGUUAAGGUGAUACUCAAAGAAUACAACUAUAGGCUCAGAUGACUACAUCUGGGAUGAAUCCCUCAGUCCAUGCAGGGAUAGCCUGUAUCAAACAAAAUACACAAAGCACAACUUUUAAGAAUGCCUUUUACCUCACAGGAUGUGUGUCUUUGGCAGCAUAGAAUCAAUCCCACUCACCUGCUCCAGUCACCUCACACAGCAACGGACCUAAUUACAUGGACUCAUCCUCUCAUUUUAAAUAUUUCAGUGCUUCAGCUUUCCCCCUCCUCAGAUCUAAAAAUCAAAGCCAACUAAAGUCAGUUCCUCUCUUACCUACUUUCAAAGUUCCCUCAUGCCCAGUGAAGGAAAACCAGCAGCCACACUGGAUGGAGAGCAACCUCUGAAUGCAUAUUCGUUAGUAACUAUUCUCUGAACCCAGCUCUCCUGUGUCUGAGGAUUCCUUUGUCUCUCCACCCUCCCACCAAGUCCCUGUAGGAUGCCAUUGCAGCCUCUUUGCUUCGUGUCCAGCUAUUACAUGGGUUCUAAGGAUUUGAACUCAGUGCCUCAGAGUUGAGGUAAAAAUAAAGCACUUUUAUCCCAA